Molecule: small RNA, 76 nt
Filed under: Xanthomonas fragariae
Lineage: Bacteria; Pseudomonadati; Pseudomonadota; Gammaproteobacteria; Lysobacterales; Lysobacteraceae
Description: sX9 sRNA
Rfam family: Xanthomonas sRNA sX9
Source: RNAcentral
AUGUACGGCGCUUACACUGUGGUUCCUCCGCGCCACCCGCACCCACCUGGCGACUGCUCGCGACGUUUUGUUGGCA